GGUGAGGAAGAGGAGGAGGAGGAGGAGUCGGUCUGUCAAUGCUUCUCCUCUUCAUCACAAUGUUGAUGAAGUGUACAUCAUGUCUUAUAUUGCCUGACGUGGUGAAGACAACUUGCUGGAGGUCAAAGCGAGCAUCACAACGGGGAGGAAGAGGGUUUAAUAGAAAGUACCCAGUGAGCACCACCAAGGAACGCACAACAAUGCACACCACCACCAAGGAACACACAACACCACCAAGGAACGCACAACACAGGGCUGCUGUAGCCCUGCAUAGGAGCACACCAGGAGCCCCUCCUGUCAGCUAACAGGAAACAGACCACAACUCACACAGGCUCACAUCAGUGGACAAUAAUAAUAUAUUUAAUUUGUAAUGCACUUUAUAUUUAAGAAAAUCCCAAAGUGCUACAUGAUAAAACAGGUAAGUGCUGACAAUAAAAACACACGGAGAGUUUGAAAACAAAAACAAAACGAGUUCACUCAAAAGUCUCCUAAACAAGCAUCCCCAGUCUGUGGUGUCCUCAGGUGGUCAGCGAGAGGUUCCACAGACUGGUGUCCUCAGGUGGUCAGCGAGAGGUUCCACAGACUGGUGUCCUCAGGUGGUCAGCGAGAGGUUCCACAGACUGGUGUCCUCAGGUAGUCAGCGAGAGGUUCCACAGACUGGUGUCCUCAGGUGGUCAGCGAGAGGUUCCACAGACUGGUGUCCUCAGGUGGUCAGCGAGAGGUUCCACAGACUGGGAGCAGCUGAGCAGAAAGCCCGAUCUCCCAUAGUACGGAGCUUUGUCCUGGGAGGUUUUAAAAGAUGUGCUGAGGCAGAUCGGAGGGUACGUGUUGAUGUCUGUGGGGUGAGGAGUUUCUUGAGGUAGGGGGGGGGACUUCACCAUGGAUGCACUGGUGGGUAAGGAGGGAGACCUUGUACUCAACCCUGAGUGAGACAGGAAGCCAGUGGAGUGAUUUGAGGAUGGGGGUGAUGUGCUCAUGUCAACAGGAUCCUAGCAGCGCUGCUCUGGAUGUACUGCAAUUUCUGGAGGCUUUUCUAGGGAUCCCGGGGAGGAGCGCAUUACAAUAGUCCAGCCUGGAGGAGACAAAAGCGUGGACAAGCUUUUUCCUUUAUUAUCUCCAGGCAGGCGGUCAGAGUGGAUAAUGGCAGGGCAGCAGAGGGGGUUGGGUUUGUCCUGAGGUAGAGUUAAGUGUCAUCAGCAUAGCAGUGGAAUGAAAUUCCAUGCCGGCUGAUGACAUGGCCGAGGGGGAGCAUGUAGAUAAUGAACAGGGUGGGGCCGAGCACUGAGCCUUGAGGGACACCACAGGUGACAUUGUGUGUCAGGGAUUUAGCCUCUCCCAAGGCGACAUGCUCAGUUCUCCCGGUGAGGUAGGAUGAGAACCACUGAUGGACGAGGUCAGAAAGGCCGAUAGUGGAACGUAGACGGUGGAGGAGGAUGUUGUGGUCCACAGUAUCGAAUGCUGCAGUCAAGUCCAGGCGGAUGAGAAGAGAUGGGGAGCCAGCGUCUGCAGUCAUCGGUAGGUCAUUUGUGACCCUGACCAGGGCUGUUUCUGUGCUGUGGCCGGGGCGGAAACCAGAUUGAAAUUUCUCGAACACGUUGUUUUGCUUUAGAUGGUCCGGUCCUGAAGCUGUGCGGCAACUACUUUUUCCAGCACCUUGGAAAGGAAUGGAAGGUUGGGUGGUUUUUUAGAAGUGGCCUGAUGACAGAGGUCUUCAGUGUUGAUGGAACAUGGCCAGCCCGGAGGGAGUGGUUAAUGACCUUUGUACAAUAGAAGAUUGGACAAACGGUUCCUGGUCUCAUGAGUCUCAUUCCAGCUGAACAUCUAGAUGGUCGGUCAGAAUGUGGAGUAAACCACAUGAAAGCCUGGAUCCAUCCUGCCUCGUACCAACGCUUGGGGCUGCUGCUGGUGGGAUGGGGCAUUUUCUUGGCUCGUUUUGGGCCCCUUGGUACCCAUCGAGCGUGGUUUGAAGGGUUGUUGCUGACCAUGUCCAUCCCUUUAGGACCACAGUGUCCCAUCUGAUGGACCAUGUCACAAAGCUCAUAUCUCAAAGAUGACGAGUUCACGAUACUCCGAUGGCCUUGAAGGCUCCACAUCUCAAUCCAGUGGAGCCCCUUUGGGACGUGCAGUGACUGCGUGACGCUGUCACGUCAAAAUGGAGCAACAUCUGUGAGGGACGUUUCCAACACCUUGUUUUUAAGUACAACACCAAGAAUCAAGGUGGUUCUGAAGAAGGGGUCCAACUUUCUACCAGCAAGGUGGACCUGAUCACGUGUGUGUGCUCAUACUGCUCGUCAUCAAUAUAUCUGAUAAUAAAUCAAUACAAGUAUCGGA
Non-coding RNA from Gasterosteus aculeatus aculeatus (three-spined stickleback), 2331 nucleotides. The record is from RefSeq and is a predicted model, not a curated record. Lineage: Eukaryota; Metazoa; Chordata; Actinopteri; Perciformes; Gasterosteidae.